Passer domesticus (house sparrow) is the source of this 3343-nucleotide long non-coding RNA. RefSeq lists it as uncharacterized. The transcript has 5 exons. NCBI's taxonomy places the organism in Eukaryota, Metazoa, Chordata, Aves, Passeriformes, Passeridae. The record is from RefSeq and is a predicted model, not a curated record.
CCGGGCCCGGAGCCGGCCUCGCUCCUCAGGCCGCGACAAGCUCCCGAGCCCGCCGGGGAAAUAAACUCUAACAGAGCCUUUUUAAACCCUCCGGGGUCGAUAAACCCUCUGACACCUUUUAGUGCCAGUGAGGAAGGUGUUGAUUUGUUUUUGCUCAAGAGGUGUGUGUGUGUCUGUGUGGCCGACAAAAUUUUCCGGCCUCCCCACAAGGUAUUUGCAGCUGCCUGUGCUCGAGCAAGCUCCAUAUCUCUGCACGGCUCCCUUCUGCCUCCUGUGAAAGUGAUAAUAUCACUUCUCUGCCUCCCAAGACUGCUAGGAACUGAAGCUCUGGGCUCCUCCGAGGAAGCAUAAAAGCUGAACAUGUGAGAUGAGUACUCCAAAAACCUCAUGGGAUCUACACCACAUUCCUGAAACCUCAUCUGCAGGCUGGUUAAUCCACGCUUGUCCCUGACCUGUCUGGGACCCUCCGUGCUGCUCAGACUCCCUGCCCCUCACCUGCUGGCCGCACUUUGAUCCCGUGGUAGGUCUGCAGCAUUGUCACGCCGUUCUCCACCCUGACACUGAGGCAAUACUGCCCCGCGUCCCUGAAGGUGUGGCUGAGGUUGUAGCAGGAGCCACUGAUCUCCACCAGAUGGCAUUUGUCACCUUCAAGUGGAAUGCACUCGGAUUUUAUAAGCCAGCAUAAUGCCAGUGGUGGGCUGAAACGACAAGAGCAAAAAGACAAAAAAGACAAAAAAAAAAAAAAGUGAAAACUCUGCACAAAAUUUCAGCAAAGAGCUUGGUUAAAAUAGCAGAAUAAUUUUGAAACUAAUGAAGUUAACUUAAAUACAAAUAAAGAAAUAACCAACUGCACUGUUUUUGGUUUAUAGCACAUGCCAAAUGAAAAAGUUCUUUGUGAUGCUUCUAUAAAGGCAGGUCUUUCAGCUGAGAGCUGAAUACCUGCAAGGGUCAUCAGUGGGCCCCUGUGUGUAGAAAACUCCAUAGUCCUUCCAAUAAAGUCCUAUCCAAUAAAGAUAAAAAGAAUCUUUUUUCCUGCACUUCCAAUGGAAGAUAGUUUUUUCUUUGUCCUUCUCACACAGAGAUCACUGUCUGUACCACUGAAGCACACCCAAGACUGUUUUAAUUAAAACACCCUACACAUGAACCUGGAAAGAAUACAAGAUGAGCUCUGUGCAAAGGACUAGUAGCUGGAAAAUAUGAACAUCUGCAUCAGAGCCAUCCUGAAUACUCAUUAAAGCAAACAAAGUAACCACACCUACCCAUCUCCAAAAUCCCAGUUGUAGACAAAUGAUGCUGACUUGAAGUAAUGACUUGGGUCAUGAAGAGAGAAAGAAAUCCGGGUCACUGUGUCACUGGAGGAGCUAGAACCAUGUGUGGUAACUCUGCUGUCUUCUAUCUGGGCUAUGGUGAGGUUCCCUGUGAUAAAUUCUGAAGAAUAAAAGAGGGGAAGGAAGAAUGACAACAUAUGUGACAGAAGAAUGACAGCAUGUAUGACAGCAUAUGUGACAGAAGAAUGACAGCAUGCUUCUACAGUAUGCUCUGUGUAUCAAAACAUUCUUUCAGAUGUACUGGGUAAGUCUUGCUGUGUCCCAGUCCAAGUGGUUAAGUGUAUUUUACAUCUGUUACUCAGUGUUGUCAUGCGUGUGAAUGAGGCAGUGAAAUUAAAAUAUUUAUUGAGGGUUAUACAAUGGGUCAUGAUAAAAUGUAAUAGAACUAAGAGAAAUAAUCCUGGACUGAUUGAGCUCAAUAUAAACUUUUACUAUUUAUUUUAAAAUAACUGGUAUCAAUAUCAAGCAUCUAGUUUUAGAGUCAGGUACACAUGCUCAUCAUGUCUGGGAUGGUGGGUUUUGUUUGUUUUGUGGGGAUUUUAAUGUAGCUUUUUUCCCCCCCUUAGUUUUAGUUGUUUCUACAGAAAUUAAGAUUUGACUACCGUGAAUAACAGAUGUGCUAUAUAUUGUGAAUACAGAAAGGGGGGAUGUUUUUGUCAGUGAGAUGUUCUUUGUUGGACAAUGAGUGGCAAGGACUGAUCUAAAAAAAUCCUCUCUAACCUAUGAACAAAGAGAUAUGAUGAGACACCAGCUCAUUAUAAAAUUAAUGGGCUGUUGAUUACCAGUAACAGACUCUUAUCCUGUUAACAAUUCAUUAAAUCUGGUUAACAUUUUUUUUAGUGAUGCACAAAUAAUAAUUGCAGUUACUGUUGGAAUAGGGCUGUCAAUCCCUGUAUCAGAGAUUUGGUUAACCAGUGCACACCAGUUGUUAAUUUUAUGGUUAUGAAUAUUCCCAAAAAACUGAAGUUGCACUUAGCAACAUUUAGAAAUGCAGCCAUGAUUCAGAUCCAAUUUCAGUACACUCAGACAGACCUUUAAAAGAAAAUGUAAUGCUCUGCUGUGCUGGUGGCCUAAGAUUUGCUGUGUCAUGCAACAGGGAAAAGCAGCAGAUUGGCACUGCUGAUGGUCAUCCUAACUUUAGGUCUAGAAAUGCUGGGAGGCAGUGGAAGAAGCAUUGUUCUAGGAGUUUGGACACCACUGACCUAUGCUGAUGUAUGGACUGCAGCUGCUGAAGCAUCUGGUUUCCAGUACAGUUUCUCUAAGUGACAGAGGUAGGAAAACAUGGGCAGCACCACACUUCCCUCCUGGGUGUAGAGAGACUAGAACCUGGCUGUAAAGUAGUGAUUGCACCAUGCUCCCAAACCCACCUUCAGCCACAGGGCUACAAAUCAAACUCUGUUGUCAGCAGCCAUAUUUGCACUGGUUUUCUCCCUGAUGCUGCAGGGGCAUAUAUACUGAGUUCCUGGAGAGGCACAGGUUUUAAAGCCAUUUUACCCAUUUUACCUGUAAUCUGGAGCACAGUGAUGUUUCUUGCAAUCGGCCGACACAACCAACAGUUUUUGUGAGUCACCCAGACAGACACAGGGAAAGUGCCAGGGAAUUCACCAGUCACAUUAAUUAUGGAAUUAAACUGCUGCUCGGAUUUCUCUAUCAGAAUCAGAGGAGCAUAGACCCAGUUGAAGUGAUACCAGUUUGAUGUGACAUUUUCGUUCUUCAUUCUUAGCCUGGCUUGAACAGUAGCUUGAGCUCCCGUUGUGAUGGGACCAUUGUUGGUUAUUUCCAGACUGUACAACUCUGUAGAAAGCAGAAGAAAAUGAGUUGACCAAACCUUGCUGUAUGGCAUUUUAAAUUUCAUUUAGUUAUUUAUACACUUGAACUAGUCAGCUCUAGUUAUAUAACUUACAAUGACACCUAUCCCAGCAAAGAAUUUACCACCAUAAUUUUUAUUGUUUAAAUAUUUGGAACAGAAACUGUUUUAUGUGUAUAUGAGUUGAAAUAAAUAGCAAUAAACAACA